This 504-nucleotide ribosomal RNA is filed under the name uncultured bacterium. Its description in RNAcentral is "partial 16S ribosomal RNA". It matches the Rfam family "Bacterial small subunit ribosomal RNA", at positions 29 to 523 of the family's 1533-position model. The record is from RNAcentral.
AUUGAACGCUGGCGGCAGGCCUAACACAUGCAAGUCGAACGGUAGCACAGAGAGCUUGCUCUCGGGUGAUGAGUGGCGGACGGGUGAGUAACGUCUGGGAAACUGCCCGAUGGAGGGGGAUAACUACUGGAAACGGUAGCCAAUACCGCAUAACGUCGCAAGACCAAAGAGGGGGACCUUCGGGCCUCUCACUAUCGGAUGAACCCAGAUGGGAUUAGCUAGUAGGCGGGGUAAUGGCCCACCUAGGCGACGAUCCCUAGCUGGUCUGAGAGGAUGACCAGCCACACUGGAACUGAGACACGGUCCAGACUCCUACGGGAGGCAGCAGUGGGGAAUAUUGCACAAUGGGCGCUAGCCUGAUGCAGCCAUGCCGCGUGUAUGAAGAAGGCCUUCGGGUUGUAAAGUACUUUCAGCGGGGAGGAAGGCGGUGAGGUUAAUAACCUCGCCGAUUGACGUUACCCGCAGAAGAAGCACCGGCUAACUCCGUGCCAGCAGCCGCCGUAA